Molecule: ribosomal RNA, 253 nt
Filed under: uncultured bacterium
Lineage: Bacteria
Description: partial 16S ribosomal RNA
Rfam family: Bacterial small subunit ribosomal RNA
Source: RNAcentral
UACGUAGGGACCGAGCGUUGUCCGGAAUCAUUGGGCGUAAAGAGCGUGUAGGCGGCCACUUAAGUCCUGCGUGAAAUCUUGCGGCUCAACCGCAAGCGGUCGUGGGAAACUGGGUGGCUAGAGUGCGGGAGAGGAGAGUGGAAUUCCCAGUGUAGCGGUGAAAUGCGUAGAUACUGGGAGGAACACCGGUGGCGAAGGCGGCUACCUGGACCGGUUCUGACGCUGAGGCGCGAAAGCGUGGGUAGCAAACAGG